RNAcentral lists this long non-coding RNA (6485 nucleotides) under Nicotiana tabacum (common tobacco). RNAcentral's name for it is "long non-coding RNA (NTAB_LNC000097)". The record is from RNAcentral. Lineage: Eukaryota; Viridiplantae; Streptophyta; Magnoliopsida; Solanales; Solanaceae.
UUAUUUACGUUUGGUAAAAUUAGAAGUGCUUACAAGCCAAAAGCUUUGGUAUCCCAACUUAUCAAACUUUUGGUUAUAAACAUUUUAGGUUUGACCAAAAUAUUUAUUAUUCUAUACCUAAAAUACUUUAAUUUAAAACAAAACUUUCGUAUACUAAAUCAGCUAAGGUAAGUCAAACAGGCUCUUACAGUUCUCUUCAUUCCCAUCUCUCUCUUCCUGGUAAGUGGUUCUUCUUCACUUUUCGGUUUUGCUCUUAUUUUAAUUUUCUGGUUUCGUUUUAUAAUUUUUUCUUAAUCUUUUGAAGAUGGUCACUCUAUUCUGAAACACAGGAAUUUGAUUUUCACCUCCCUUUCCGUUUGUUCUUCUUCCUCUACACAAUUAAAAUUUAUGAUUAUGUCUGGUUUGAACACAAGUCACAGGAAUAGAGCCACGUGUUUGUAAAAUUUUAGUAAAUGUUUACUCUAAGACAUUAACUUUGAGAUGGACUUUCUACUAAAAAAAUGAGAAAUGCACACAUACGAAGAAAAUAGUUUUCUGUUUGUUCUUUUAGCUAUGCAGGCCUUCACACAUUCUCUUCUUAUUCGUUGGAAUAGCUAGCAUAUUUUUUACCAGAGAUUUGGGAUUCGGCUGAAGUUCUUUGCCGGUCCACCUUUGCUAAGAGAGAGAACAAUAACAUGAACACAUGCAUAGUCAUAUUGUCACCUCUAGAAACCCAAAUGUUUGACACUAUUAGUACUUGUAUUCUUUUCAUCUUUUUUCCUUUUUCUAUUUUUACACCCCAAAUAUGGGAGAUUAUUAAUAUGGAGAUGUAGAGAUAGCAAGGAGUUUUGAGGUUUAUAGUUGGCGUGACACAAAAUAAGGUAAUCCUAGCUUGAUUCUUUGGUUGCCAGUUGGGUAAGGCGCAAUUUGAUUUUAUACAGAAGGACUUCUAAAUUCAGGUUGUUCUAUCCUCAAAGAUUCAUUCUGCAAUGUGCGGUUGUAACUGUUUGGAUUUAAUGUCUUCAAUUUUAUUAGUUGGAAUAUGAUAGCCUUGCAAUUUUGAUGGACAGAUUUUUUAAGAAAGCACAUGUACUCAAGAGGGAAAAGAUGAGCACCUCUUUAACGGUAAGAGGUAAUUUUCGCAUUUUGUUUCGCAUUAUUGAACUAUGAAUGGUUUUUCAUAGUGCGUUUGUCCAAAUAAUAUUCAUCACAUGUUGUUCUGAUAGUUUUAUACUUCUGCAAAGUAUUAUCGUUUUGUUCAUGUUGUUCUAUCUUUUCACAGUUCAUGGGAUCCCAUUUUUGAGGUGAAAAAGUUCCAAAAUGGGAAUAAAGAUGGUGCUCCGAAGAUAUUGGCGCUAGGAUUUGUGAUGUAUUCCUCCUCAAUUACACAUACAUUGCCACCUUUUACAACAAAACUUCAGAGGCUCAUUUGUAACUUGAAGGUAGUCUUUUUCGGAAACUUGACAAAAUUUCUGUUCAAGAUUAUGUUUUAAUCACGCAUCAAAGUGAAACUUUCAGUCUUUUGCAUAGAUUGUUCUAACAUGGAGAGGUUACUACUCAAGCUGAUAUUGAAAUCUAAUCAGUGGAAUGAGGUAUUUUAUGCAAAGACUACUCUUUUUGCCCCUGAUUUUUGGUAGUCGUGAUCGUGACCUAUUUGACAAUGUUGAACAUAAGUUUGCAAGGUCGUUAUUGUUGACAUAUAACUUCUCUCAGGUCUUUCUUCUUUGCUUCUUUGUCUGUGCAUGUGUUUGUUAUUGUGCUUUGUGUGAAUUGGUUUGUAAUUUGUUUCUUAACUCAACAUGCAAGGAAAACCAAAAGUGAAAACUGGUUGGAGUAAAAAAUAUAGAUUUAUACUGUGUGAAAUUGGUGGCACAAUUAUUCAAGGUGGGAGCUGGCAGUGGAAAGGCUGGACUAAAGGGGUGUUACAGGACAACACACUAGAGUAAUUUUUGUAAAUGUUUUCUUUCAAGGUUAUAGAGACAGGGGUUAGCAGAAAACACAAUAGUACAUUAAUUUUCUGUUGUUAAUUGUUUUUUGAUAUGGUUCCUUCAUUAGCAAUUUUUUAUCGAAAUUUUUUAUUAUAAAAGAAUUAUGAAAGUUUUAGGGAAAAACACUCUAUUUCCCUAUUUGCUUCUUCUCUAUAGAUACUGAAAAGGGAAAAGAAGUAUGAAGAUUCAAAUAACAAUGGCUAGGUGAAUGCUUGUAGUUUUUAUCUCUUUUGGAAGUUACACAUCUGUUAAAUAUCUAUUAGAACAUAUUGAGAAAGUAAAAAAGUUAAAACCAAAAUUCAAUUGGAGUUUCAAAUGUAAAAAUGAGAGAAAAUAAAACUUAAUUGGAAAUGAUAUCUUCCAUGUUUCUGUGGGUGUAGUUUAUGAUGCUAUCCUCAUAUGAUUGUAAAUGUAUGUUUUCUUAGAAACGAUUAUAUUGUAACAGAGCAUUAAAUUUGGGCAUUAAAGUUCAGUGUCAUAUAAGUCGAAAGUGAUUGAACUGUCUUUUCAAGAGGGACUUAUUUUCAUCAAAUAAAAUAUUGCAUUAGUGAAUGUAUUAUGUGCGUGAUUGUUAUAUUCUUCCCCAAUUUUCUGAGAUUUUAGCAUCUUAUUUGUUUGUAAAUUGCUCUUUAGGAUACUUUUGUCCUCUUAUUGAUUUGUCUUUGGAAGGAGACAGUAAUAGUGUAAUAUGAAUAAUAGAAAGAAAUUAUCAAUGUCUUUGACUAUAUGUGCAUUUCAAACAAGUCAAUAUUAGUCUUAUUGGUCAAAAUAUUGCUUCGUGGGUAUCUCUUUUAAUGUAUGCCUACCUAAUCUGGAACAUGACCAAGGGAUUCUUCUGAAAUCCUACUAAAGUUAUGCUACUUUAUAGGGCACUGGUUAUUGUCUAGCAAUGUAAACUUUUAAUGCACACUUGUUCUGUAGGAGCCUCUUAUCAUUUGGAUUGUGUGUCAUCUGCUAUUAACAUGUGGCCUUCCAAUAUUUUGUUCGGACUUUUCACUUUGGCUAAGCAAAUUUUGUGAAAAUUUGCUGAUUUUAGUGUAUUUUCUUUGUCGCUUAAGGAAAAAUAACAACCGCUACAGGUACACUUAUGUCAAAAAACUAUAUGAACCAUAUAACAAAUUAAUAUGGAGUCAGCUCUCUCUCUUUCUCCGGUGUGUAUAAAGAGAUCAGUCACUCGCCAUUUUACAUUGCAAGCAAUGUUUGAGUAGUUAUAAGGCAUGAAAUAUUUUGUAAUCUUUCUAUACUCUUAAGGAGCUACUCUUUUCUACUCUGUUCCACUGAAUCUUUCUGCAUCCCUCUGUCUGGUGAAUUUUUAAGUCAUUUAUUUCUUUUGGUACUCUUAACUUAGAAAUAAUUCUUUCCGCUGCAAUUUAUUCUCAUGAAUACACAAAUUUUUGAUGUGAUAUUGUCUUAGCUCUGAUCGUGAAUUCAUAAGUUCGAUAGUGUACAGUAAGGACCAGACAUAGAGGGUCUCGCUGAACCUUUGGGUACUCCUGGAAGAAAAAAUUAGAUGUAAGGAAAGUAGAGUCGCAUAUUUAGAGGUGAGUGCCGAAAUAUGGAGAAAAAAGUACAACAUACAUUAGUAACAUCCAUGUAUGGUGAUGAACCAAACAAACAUGAAACACUAACUAGAAAAUUUCAGGAGGGUAAACUACACAAAAGGCUUUAAAUAGUAUGCUCUUUCUCCAAAUUCUUUCUGGUCACCUGUCCUGGUCAAUUGCUGAAUAUUUCUUCAAAAAAAUUGUGGCUCAACUUUCUUUUGGUAUUCUUAGAUUUUAAAUUCUAAAUACAUGGCAUUACUGAAUAUUUAUGAUUCAUUUAGUUAGAAUAUAAUGAUUGCAGUUUUGAUUUCACAUUUUUUUAAAGUGGAAGUUGAUCAAGGUGGGGGAAAAGGCACAACUGCUUCGGCUCUAAGACGUAAUUUUUGCACUUGCUACUCGAGUAGUGGUAGAAGUAAGUCAGAAACGAUCAAGCAGGUUCAUUAGAACUAAUAGCAAAAGAUUGAAGGUAGAAAUAUAAUUCUUUCUAAAAGGACCUGCAGUAUGAAAUAGAGGACAAGUUAUUUACUUUCAGCUUAUUUUAGACAAAGAAAGAUGAUUUUUAUGUUAUACUUAUACUAACUUGUGAAUUUUUAAGUUAAUUUAUGGAGCAACAAACGUAAAGAGAUAUUCAAAGAAAAGAAUCAGGCAUGAACAACUGGUGGCAAACCCCUCAGUAUAACUUCUCAAUUUUAUGUAACAUAAAAAUUUAAAAACUACUAAAAUAAUUAAAAGGGACUAAAAGAUUUACCCGAGGUUUCUAAUUCCUGGUUCAUCGUGCUACCAAUUGGGCUGCAAAGCUCAAGCAUAAUUUUACAUGAGGAAAGGGGAAAGAAAAAUACAUUGGGAUUGAUAGUGUUUUGGCAUAACAUGGAAACAAGAUGUUGGUCCUAAUAUGCAGAUAGAAUCAUAAUUCAUCACAAUAAUUGAACUCUCCCUUUUAUAUUGUUCGCCUAAACCGUUGAGUUUUCCACGCGAUCACUCUUUAACUUCCCCAACAAGGUCAUUAAUUUGCAAAGGAAAAAUGAUUUAGGCCACAAUCUUAGAACAUAUGGUUAAGCUUUCUUCAACCAAGUAGUAGUAGAAUUUUUGAUAGAUAACAGAGACGAUUCAUACCUGUUUAUGCAUUAUUUAGGUAAAUUUUAUGAGCAUCAAUCAUUGGUUCUGCUAAUUAUUUCAACAGGUCUUUUUUAUUCAUUCUUGAGAGUGAACAUGCUAUGAUAUGUUUUAAUGUAUGUUGAUUGAUUAGUCCUUGAUUGUCUUUCUUACAUGUUGCCCUUUAACUACUUUCUACUGACUAUCCUGAGUAUUUCGGUUGAUUUCCACAUGAGUUCUCUAAAGAAUCAUUAAAAAUGAUAGUCGAUUCAAACCUACGAUGUCAGGCCCGCACUGUUAUUUUGUUAAUCCUUUCUUCUCUGAUUAGAAAUCAAUAUGUGCAUAUGUGUGUAAUGUAGACUCUUACACCUUUUCUGCAGCUCUUUAAGGAUAUUACAAUGACAUUGAGCUUCCAUUACUAACAUCAUAUCCUUCUGAAUGUUUAAGUUUUUCUUAUUAAGCUAUAUUGAAUGGAUAAUUAUUAUUCCUGUAAUUGGUAGACACAUAUUUGAUUAUUUUCUCCAGCUAUUAGUGUUUCCAAGAGUUUAUCUCAGCUAUCCAUGGAGUCGUCUAACUCAAAGACCCAAAGAUGAUGUUCCUUCUGCUUCUGGUCCUGAAACACCCAAAGCUGCUAAGAUAUCUUCAACUGAUUUUUUUUUGUUUGUAUUUUGUCUUUCAAGAUCUAUGGUGCUUUCCUUUCUUUUUGAAGUUUCUUCCUAAAAGUUCUGAUCACUGCCAGUAUGGUGACAGCGAAAGAGAAAUAGGAAUGGUCCAACAUCAAGUUCAGAGCAAGAUGCACCAGAAACACCAGAACGAAGGGUGGAUUUCUGGUUUAUCAGCUCUGAAAAUUUAUUUAUUUAUCUUCCUUCUAUUUAUUUAUAUAUUAUCGUAUACUAAUUUAAUUUUCUUUAUAGACAUUAAGGAGAUUUGCUCAUAAUAGAGAGGGAGCACAGGAAAUUAGACUCAAAAAGGUAAUUAUCAUUAUUUUCUUAUAGGUCUGAAUUUAUCUUCUUCUUUUCUUUAUUUUGUGUAGUCGAUGUUCUUUGUGUAUGUUGUAUCUACUGAAAGAUCUGGAAAAUUCUACCAUGACGCAUUCUGUUUUCUUUGUCAAGUUCUUCUAAUGUUAUCAUUUGUCAAAACUGUUCUACAUGAUUGCAUUCACUUGCGCUAUUUUGAUCCUUACAUUCAAUCUGUCUGGCAACUUGAGACUAGUGGAGAUAGAGAUACUUCCUGAAAAUUUAUCCUUUUAACUUUGGGAAAGCAAGAUCGUUGAUAAAUGAAUAAAAACCCUUUGCGACUUACACAGGGGGUUAUCUUGUAUAGCCACACGUGAUUAAUGCAUUACAAUAUAAAUAUGGCUUUAUUGUACAUUAUAUCAGUUCGAUAUCCACUAGGUCUACACGUGUGUAUGUACAUCACUUUAGAGAAAUCCUGAGGCUAGCGAGGUAUAUCUAAAUUAUGAUACAUGACCCAUCUCUUCUUGGAGUUUGAACUAGAUAUAUGUAAAUUUUGAUAUAUAAUUCAUUUCUUCUGGGUCUGAAGUUUGAACUCAAGUCUCUGUAUGACAUUAUUGCAGGAUAAUAAUUCUUCUAAUUUCAUUUGGAGACACCUUCUGUAGAAGUGCUUUACAGAGAUUGAAGAUCAACAAAGAGGAGCAACUCGAAACUUUCUUUUGAAAUAGUUCAUAUUUUAUGGACAUUCAAGUACUUGAUAAAACUGCCUCCAUCUUUUGAGAUUCUGCUAAAAGCUUGAAUUUUUAUAUUUCUCUUUCUUUUCUUUAUGCAAUUGGAUAAAGAUGCAAUUUUCUAUGAGAAAUAUCUUCUUGGUAUUGAUUUUUUUUGUUGUUGGUAAUCUUGUAGUUGUACAAUAACAUAAACUAUGUUUG